This 253-nucleotide ribosomal RNA is filed under the name uncultured bacterium. RNAcentral describes it as "partial 16S ribosomal RNA". It matches the Rfam family "Bacterial small subunit ribosomal RNA", at positions 524 to 776 of the family's 1533-position model. The record is from RNAcentral.
UACGUAGGGGGCAAGCGUUGUCCGGAAUUAUUGGGCGUAAAGCGUGUGUAGGCGGCUUGGCAAGUUGGAUGUGAAAGCCCACGGCUCAACCGUGGAAGCGCAUCCAAAACUGCUUCGCUCGAGUCUCGGAGAGGAAGGUGGAAUGCUUGGUGUAGAGGUGAAAUUCGUAGAUAUCAAGCAGAACACCUGCGGCGAAGGCGGCCUUCUGGACGAUGACUGACGCUGAGACACGAAAGCGUGGGGAGCAAACAGG